Long non-coding RNA from Drosophila subpulchrella, 1864 nucleotides. RefSeq lists it as uncharacterized. The transcript is spliced from 5 exons. NCBI's taxonomy places the organism in Eukaryota, Metazoa, Arthropoda, Insecta, Diptera, Drosophilidae. The record is from RefSeq and is a predicted model, not a curated record.
CUGAACAGUACACAUAACAUUUUUUCUGUGUUUGCUUUUUAUAAUAUUACAAAUUUAUUAGUGCAAAACCCGAAAAUUAACAACGGCUUAUUUUUUAACAAUCCAUAAUGUUGUUGGUCCAAUUGCUGUCAAACUCUCAAUAUAGUCGAGACGUGCCUUUGCCGCAGCCGAUUUUAUUUGAAGUCCAGAAUAACGCAACAAUAUUGGAGCUCCGGCAAAAGUUGGAGCCCAUUAUCGGUCUUCCGUUAAACCAGAUCAAACUGCGAAAAUCUGGCCAGACAAUAAACAAUAAUAAACUGAUUUCGGAUGUCUUGGGUGCGAGGACUUCGGAAGAUUUGGGAUUUGACGCGGAACUAUCUGUAUUGAGCGGAAAUUCAUUCUUCGCCCCCCUAAAAUUUUACGGGCAGGUAUCUAAAAACGGACAACCGAUUAACCACCAAUUCUACAUGCCUCAGCAAUAGGUGAGCAAGCGCAUUCCUAGCUAUUCCAGAGCGAACAUCAGCGGGACCUCGAGGUUGGGUCAUCAGGACACUCUUGAAAUAGCCCAGGGAUCCUGUGUAAUACCGAUGAUCGAAGGCCAAUGACCCACGUCCUAUCAAUACCAGUAUAUUAUUUGACAAUAUUAUCCCGUCAAACAGGGCACCUGUGUCUUGGACUGCGCUGGGUGAUUAAAUCGUCCCGAAUUCCUUUAUUUACCGAAAGUUACGAUCCCCAGAUCGCUUAUAGCUAGCCAAUGCUUUGGAGUAUUGAUAACAUGGCCCUUCGCAAAUUGCCCAACUCGUUGACCUGUACGGCUUUGCAAAAGACUCCCCUUAAGAGCGCACCAGAAGUCUGAAGUACCCGGAAAGAAUGAUCGUUCAUUCCCCUAAAAUUUUACGGGCAAGUAUUUAAAAACGGACAACCGAUUAACCACCAAUUCUACAUGCCUCAGCAAUAGGUGAGCAAGCGCAUUCUCACAGGACGAUCCGCUCAAGUCGCGGAUCCUGGCCGCUGGCAAUGAUUUCAAGGGUGAGCAGGCCUCGAGGAGGAGCCGCGCUACGGGCUAGAGAUCAGCGAAUUUGGCUCCAGAGCCAUAUUAAAGGAACGACGGCACUGUUUAGAUCUCCCAUCCCGAGAAAACAAUUUGCUAUUCUAGAGCGAACAUCAGCGGGACCUCGAGGUUGGGUCAUCAGGACACUCUUGAAAUAGCUCGGGGAUCCUGUGCAAUCCCGAUGAUCGAAGGCCAAUGACCCACGUCCUAUCAAUACCAGUAUAUUAUUUGACAAUAUGUCUUGAGCUGUGCUGGGUGAUAAAAUCAGCCCGAAUUCCUUUAUUUACUGCCAAUGCUUUGGAAGUAUUGAUAUUCGCAAAUUGUCCAAUUCGUUGUAGGUCAUGUUGGCCGCCAGCAGUACAUUAGUCCUAGCCAUAUCCUCAUUAUAGGACCUGUACAGCUUUGCAAAAGACUCCCCUUAAAAGCGCACCAGAAAAACUAUGACUGCCCCCUACAGUCUGAAGUACCCGAAAAGAAUGAUCGUUCGUUCAAAAAAUCCAAGUCAAAAAAAAAUGUGUAAAUACAUCACAGAUCACAGUACAUCGGAAGUAGGCGGAAAAACAAAUACGAUACGCGUCAGAAAAUGGGACAUAAUCUUUUAUUAGAAUCGGAAAAGCUGUUUUUUCGAUGAGGAAACCGAGGAAUACAGGAAAGAAUCCAUCCACCACCACCAACAGAGAUGGUCGACUUCAUGUCCGAACAGAAAAAUUAUUAUUUUAAUUCAAGAGAAAUCAAGUCGGUGGUCUGAAAUGGUGAAGAAAUGUCUUUGAAUGAGCUGAACAAGAAAAUGCACUCCAGUGACAAAUAAAUAAUAUAAAAAUAUUUUUAACAGAA